Molecule: long non-coding RNA, 2525 nt
Filed under: Anas zonorhyncha (Eastern spot-billed duck)
Lineage: Eukaryota; Metazoa; Chordata; Aves; Anseriformes; Anatidae
Description: lncRNA (ENSAZOG00000016673.1)
Source: RNAcentral
AUGGCCAACGCGGGGGUGAAAACCCUCCUGCAGUCAAAGGAGCUCCUGGAGGCCAUGGAGGCCCCGCUGGGCAGCCAGGCACAGCCCCCCGUCUCCUGUCCUCUGCUGGGCCCGGGGGCCCCCCAGGCCCUCGCCAGGCACACGGCCAUCUCCUCCCCGGGUCCCCCCAUCGCAGAGUUCCGCAGGAACAGCACUCCCCAAAACUGCUACAACCUGAAGAGAACCUUUGCCUGCACCAACCUGCUGCAGCUCAGCCUGGCCAGCUCUGACAGCCCCGCAGAUAGGGAGGCUUCCAUCAGUCCCCACCUGCACACGUCAUGCUCCCAGGAUAAAUCUGAGCCCGCCACCCCCCUGGUGAGUGCCCACUGGGAACGCCCAAAACACCCCUGGGAACUCCCUGGUGCCCCUGCCACACGAGUGAGGGACCGGUUGGCGUGCCCCGCAUCUCCAAGGUCCUUCUGCAGUGCUUGUGGGGGACUGGGGUCCCUGACGUCUCCUGGGGACAUCCCCAUACCUGUGAGGAUGCCUGGAACCCCCGGGGCUCCCAGAUCUCCCCCAGGGAAACCCUGACACCUCUCCCCUCUAGAGAGAGAUCCCACAGGACUACAGGGAAUUCACAGCACCCCAAGUCUCAUGGAUGUCAGAGCUCCAGCACCCCUAGGGGACAUCACAGCCACCCGUGAUCCCCUGUGUACAUAGGAGGGGCCCAGGUGGCGGUUCUAGGUCACAGACUCGGUCCCAAGUCUCAGGAAGGGGUGCAUUGGCCCAACGGGCACACAUAGGGCUGGUACGUGGGCUCCGGGGUGACCACAGGGAGGGAGCAGACACCUCUCCAUAGACCAGGGGAGGAUGUGACUGUCACCACCCUGCCAACAAAGACUUUGCGUGACGCGGAGCAUGUUCUGGCAUGGUUAUGGCAGGAGAACUGAUCGUCAGCACCUCGCCUGUCCUGCUGAAGAAGGCAGAACGUGGGACGUGGUGAGCGGGACUAACCACCCACUGCAAGACACCGUAGUGCUAACAGCGUGUUGUGUCCGUGCAAUGAAGGUUCCUCUCUACAAACGCAGUGUGGCUCUUCCCUUGGGGACCUUGGGGUUUGUUUGGACGUCUCAGAAAAAUCCUUCUGAGUCUUGUAUCCCUCAAUGUGGGUGAUGUGUUACCUUGACAAUGAAAUCAAAGUGAUUCUGGGUUUGCACAAUACCUUAAACAUCCUGUGUUACACACAAAACCCCAUAUACACGUGUAUGCGCAUGAGUACAUCUACUCCAUGCCAGUUUUUUGAGAUGCCUACGUGGUAAAAAAGUAUUAGAUCAUCUCUGGUCAGUGAUAGGCAUAUGUAUAUAAAAUGUAUUUUUAGUUGUUAUGUAUUCUUUGCACCCUUUUUGUUGCACAAAGCCUUCCACUACAGCUCAAGGACACAUAGAGGAGAUAUCCCAUAUGUGUGAUAGAUCGUGUGCUCUGGGCCGUGACUUCCCAAUCAACCCUUUGGAGAUCCAUCAGGACCUGCGUGUUCCUCAGAGUGAGGCCAGGUACCAGGAAAAUGUGGAAAAUAGCUGCUUGCCAGUCUCAAACUAGGGUAAAACAGGAGGUAAGGAUGGAGUCAUUAAAAGGUUGAUGUUUUGGAAGACAAGGACUGGAAGAUCCUUAGCUGGUUGGCCACCCCAGCCUUCCUCUCUCACCUGAUGCACCUCAAGCAGGAGCUGCUCGUUCCAGCACCUACAAGAACUCAUAGCCAAGAAGCCUGUAUGCAUCCUCCGGUGUUCUUCAGAGUGCCAUCCUCGAUGCGUGGCAAGCUGGGUGNNNNNNNNNNCACCCCAGCCUUCCUCUCUCACCUGAUGCACCUCAAGCAGGAGCUGCUGGUUCCAGCACCUGCAAGAACUCAGCCAAGAAGCCUGUAUGCAUCCUCCAAUGUUCUUCACUGCUGGGCAUGCUAUCCUUGAUGCGUGAUUAGCUGGGUGGGCUCCAGUUCAGCCCCCAGCUUCUGCCAUCCCACAGAGUAUCCCUUGGAGUAUUAGCUCAUGAUCAAUGCCUAGCAAGAUAAUUUACAUGAGGGGACACUGAAGAUUUGGAGCCUUCUCAGCACUUCUGUCUACACUGACGUACAGUGGAAGCCAUGAGGCUUUGUGUGGCAUUUGCUCGUUGGAUCUUGACUGUACAAAUCCAUGAGAGGCUGAAGCCCAGAGUAUUGUGAGAAGUGGCUGAUGUUCUUGCAAAGCUGCUUGCUACCGUCUUUGAAAAGCCACGUUGACAAGGGGAAAGUCUUCGUGACCAGAUCACAUUUUCUGCCUUCAUCAAAAAAGGUCCAACAGAGGGCCCAUGCCAGCCAGCUUCACUUCAGUCCCAAGGGAAAACCAUGGAAUGGCUCCUUAUAGAAGACAUUUCUGGUAGAUGAAGAUAGGGAUGGGGAGCAGUUGGCAUGGAUUUACUAUGAUUUUGUGCCUGAAAAGUGUGGUUGCUUUCUGUGGUAAGAUGGUCAGGUUUCAUCGGGGCAGAGCAGUGGAUGCCAUUUACCUUGACUUCAGCAA